CAAAGAGUCAGACAUGACUGGAGCAACUAACACAGGGCAUUAUAAAUAACAUCACGGGUGGAUAUGAAGUUCUUGUGCUCAUCACAGGGGGAUGUGCUCAGAGAGGAGACCUGCGUAGGGAGAGAAAGAAACCCACUGUGGAAUCCAGGCAAAAGCGGUGUGUGUCUUGGACUGGAGCUGUGCUAUGGGGAAGGUCAUCACGGAGUACCAGACUGGGAUCCCUGUGCAACACAGCAACUUCUCACCAGCUAUCAGCAAAUAUACACUAUCAGGAAGCCACGCUAGACAUCAGAAACAAGACUAUUUGGGGCAAGCUUUCUGAACAGAACACAAACUGAAAUAAAUCCGUUCACCCAGAUGUUUCCAUCACAAAUUGUGCCGACACAGCACAACUGCCUUUCCACAGGGAAAGAGUAAAGCGUCAAAAAACAGUAGGAACUAAAACUUAAAUUACACAGUAAAAAUGUUCAACAUUUAAAGUCUAGGGCUGUGGUUACAGAAUUUAAGUCAAAACCAGCGUAAACUUCAAAAACAACAACAAAGAUCCAGGAUGGCUUUUUAUUAGAGAAAUGAUCUCUCUCUUUUAUCUCAUCUGCAUCAACUUAAAAAAAGGAAAAAUCAUAUAACAUUAGAGUAAAAUGUAUUUGUAACUAUAUUUUAAGCCUAGCAAUUUCAGCUCAAUUUUCAGCAGCAAUGUUUCACUAGAAUCAAAGAUUUCCUAGAUGGUUUAAAAACACAGUGAAAAUUUGGCACUUUGAAACCUUACGUGAAUACAGCUUUAACUUCCUAUUUUCAAAGAAAAAUGAGAUUUAACAUAAAAAAAACUAAGGCAAUGCCCCUUAAGGUCCUUAAAAAAAAGAAAGAAAAGAAAUUCAACCUGCUGUACACAUUAAAUAAUUCAAAUCAAUGAUCCUUUUAAGCCCUUAGCAAUGCAUGAGCCAAUGGGGAAAAGCAAUCUAAUACUUCAUGCAUUUAGGGGAUUGCAUUAGAAAGACUCUUAGCCUGCUUCUGCUUUUAUAAAUGCAAAUAUAUGCAGAGCAGACAGAUUGGGAUCGGUACAAUUUAGCAAUGAUCGAAACUUGUAAUUUUUGAAAAUGGGACAGAUGUCCAGACUAGUUAUAUUAAGAUGUUGCUUAUUGAAGAAGAAACCAAACAAACAAUCCAAUUCCACCUCCUCCUUAAAAAGGAAACAAAUAAACAAUGCUACCACAAAUUCAAAUAAGCUGUAUGUCAUCUUGUUUCUUUUAUAGAAUCUGAAAGCUGAAAGACAGCUUAGGGUAGAGGAAUAAAUAUUUCCUGACUGUAUCAUUCACUGCAUUACUCAUCUUCCUGUCCCUAAAACACAGAAAUGGGGGGAAAUGCUCCCCCAUUCAAGGGCCACUGAGGUCAGAGAUCAGCUAGAUCUCUGGUCAACAAAUAAGGGCUGAAUGAAUGCCAUCUUACUUUAUUCACUCAAAGUUGCUGAGUGCUUACUGUAUUUCUAUACUUGGAAUAUAAUGGCUCCCCGGGCUUAUUUGAUGAUAUUGAGUGCCUAGAAUGUGC
RNAcentral lists this long non-coding RNA (1542 nucleotides) under Capra hircus (goat). RNAcentral's name for it is "lncRNA (ENSCHIG00000005056.1)". The record is from RNAcentral. Lineage: Eukaryota; Metazoa; Chordata; Mammalia; Artiodactyla; Bovidae.